This 534-nucleotide ribosomal RNA is filed under the name uncultured bacterium. RNAcentral describes it as "bacterial SSU rRNA". It matches the Rfam family "Bacterial small subunit ribosomal RNA", at positions 34 to 540 of the family's 1533-position model. The record is from RNAcentral.
GACGAACGCUGGCGGCGUGCCUAACACAUGCAAGUCGAGCGGAGAUGUACUGAAGAUUUAUCGGAUGUACAUCUUAGCGGCGGACGGGUGAGUAACGCGUGGGCAACCUGCCUUUCACUGGGGGAUAACACAGGGAAACCUGUGCUAAUACCGCAUGACAUCACGUAGGGCAUCCUAUGUGAUCAAAGGAGAGAUCCGGUGGAAGAUGGGCCCGCGUCCAAUUAGCUGGUUGGUGAGGUAAAGGCUCACCAAGGCGACGAUUGGUAGCCGAACUGAGAGGUUGAUCGGCCAAUUGGGACUGAGACACGGCCCAGACUCCUACGGGAGCAGCAGUGGGAAUAUGCGCAAUGGGGGGAACCCUGACGCAGCAACGCCGCGUGAAAGGAAGAAAGGUCUUCGGAUUGUAAACUUCUUUGAUGAGGGACGAAAUAAAGUAGACGGUAACCGUCAAAAAAACCGAAGACCCAACGGGACGUAAACCUAACGGUAGUCCCGAAGCGAAGCCGGACGGUUAAAACUAACCCGAACCGUACC